Beta vulgaris subsp. vulgaris (sugar beet) is the source of this 789-nucleotide long non-coding RNA. RefSeq lists it as uncharacterized. The transcript is spliced from 2 exons. Lineage: Eukaryota; Viridiplantae; Streptophyta; Magnoliopsida; Caryophyllales; Amaranthaceae. The record is from RefSeq and is a predicted model, not a curated record.
CAGUCUCUCAAACCCUAAAAUUCCCCUCUCUCUCUCGCGCCUCUCUCCUCACAGUCUCUCAAACCCUAAAACUCUAUCUCUCUCCUCAAACUCUCUCGCUCUCCUCAAACUCUCUCUCUCUCUCCGGCCACUUCUUUACAGUCGACGAACUCAAUCAGAUCUACGAAUGCGUUCAUCGUUCGUUUCAGAUAACUCGUUUACAUCUCGUUCACCAUCUCUCUCUCUCCGACGGUUCGUUCACCAUCUCAUGCACCGACGGUUUGUUCUUUCUUUUUCGUUUCAUUUCGUCACUAGUUUUCGAGAAUCGGCGCGCACAACUCUCUCUCUCCGACGCAGGAACGCAACCUCUCCGGCGAAGUUUUUGAUGUGAAGUUCAACGAAAACGCCCCGACAUCUUUGUUCAUCUCUAGAUCUGCUCCAUCUUCGUUCAAGCAACGCUGACAUCCAUGGCGAAGCGAAAUACGAAUGAGAUUUCGGUAUUUUGCUCGAGUAUGAGACACGAGCAGCAAUUGAUAGCCCAAACAGGAAGAAGAUAUCAGAUUAUUUGUUGAUUUCACAAAUAAUCGCUCGAGUAUUGUUGUAAUUGUGCUCGAGUAUCUCUAGAUCUGCUCCAUCUUCUGUAUUGUUGUAAUUUUCUUUUUUAAUUUUCAGUAAUUUUCUCAUCUUAAGUUUCUGUAAAUCAUGUAUUGUUUUGAGUUUUUUUUUUCUGUAAACGGAUGAUUUGGAUUUUAGUUUGGACACAACACAGAUGAAUUUUUGCAAUACUAUUAAGAUUUUCAUUCUGUUUUA